Molecule: RNA transcript, 2888 nt
Organism: Ictalurus punctatus (channel catfish)
Lineage: Eukaryota; Metazoa; Chordata; Actinopteri; Siluriformes; Ictaluridae
Exons: 9
Source: RefSeq, a predicted model, not a curated record
AAUUUUUUUUGAGUAUACAGUGUAGCUAAAAACAUCAAGUCCUAGAGUACUCAAGUGUAACAGAAAUCAUUGUGUGUGUGUGUGUGUGUGUGUGUGUGUGUGUGUGUGUGUGUGUGUGUGUGUGUGUGAGAGAGAGAGAGAGAGAGAGAGAGAGAGAGAGAGAGAGAGAGAGAGAGAGAGAGAGAGUGAGUGUGUGAGUAUACAGGAAGUGCUUACUUAAAACAAAUCAAAAUAUUUUAUCAUCUUUAAUGAUUAAUGAAUUAUUACUUCCACUAAUGGGCAAAAACAAGACCAUCAUGAUUAAUUGAGGAUUCUAGAGUGUUUGACCUAUUUCCUUCUCACAGAUCCAGUGUAGUGAGUAUGAACAUGGAGCAUCAUUCCAGGCCUUCAUUGGAUUAUUGGAUUAUGGACAGCUACGCAGUCCUCUGUAGAAAACAUAUCAUUUGGCUCCCCGUCCAUCCAGUACCUAUAAAAACAUGCACUUUUUCACCUUCUACAUACUGUAUCAGGUGUAAGAAGGGAUAUUACUAUCCAUUAAUGAUCUCAUUUGUAUCCUUUACUGCAAUAGUAAAUUUUAAAUUGGAUACCCUUUUGUCAGUGUGGUCUCAUUCAGCCAUUUCCAGAGCCCUUCUGUAUGGUCAUCCGUCAAGCCUAUCCAAAAGCCAUUCGAAUAACUGAAUUGUGGGUUGGACGGAAAUGCUUUUAAGCUGGCUACGAUGAACUCCUAUGCAGAAGAGCAGAUAUUAAAGCCUCUCUGGAGUUGUUGAAGAUGCAGCAAAGUAAAAACAUGUGUUGUCCAUCUGCACCCAGUUGGCACAGAGAUUUCUUGCCUUGUACACCGUGGGUAACCUGUUGUGGAGUGGAGGCUUUGGCACGGUUUAUGAAAGAACAUGCAAUAAAGAUGGACAACAGGUUGCAAUUAAAUACAUCACCAAGGAUGCCUCAGAUGUGUACAUCACCAUUCCUGGCGAGUCCUGCAAGCUGCAUCUAAAGGUGGCUUUAAUGCAAAUUAUAUCAAAGCCACCCCACAAACACAACGUUCUGCAGCUUCUGGAUUGGUUCAGUAUGCCCAACUGCCUCCUGUUGGUGCUGGAGAGACCCGUCCCUUGCAUGGACGUAUAUCAUCUGUGCAUGAGUCAAAAAGGCGUACUAGAUGAACUACUGGACAAAAUCAUCAUGCUGCAGUACAUAGUUACUGAUGCACUCACUGCUACUGCCAUAAUCGCUACGUUUUCCAUCGUGAUAUCAAGGCGGAAAACCUUCUUUUCAACACCGACACUAUGGACAUCAAACUCAUUGACUUUGGCUGUGGCGAUUUGUGGCAGGACAUACCCUACGCAGAAUAUGCAGGAACUCCAGAUUUCUGGCCUCCAGAAUGGAUUCUGCAACAAGAAUAUUAUGCCUACCCUGCUACUGUCUGGAGUCUCGGUAUACUCCUCUUUAGUCUAGUCUUCGGAGAAAUGCCCUUCAUGACUGAAGAGGAAAUUGUUGCUGGGACCCUGAAUUUGAAGCCUAGCCUGUCUGAAGCCUGCCGCCAUCUGAUAGAGUGGUGCUUGGAACAGGACCCUACCAAAUGGCCAAGCCUCCAGCAGAUGAGCAAACACAAGUGGUUCACAGAAGACUUUUAAGACCAGGUUCAGACACUGCAUAGUUGGCAUUGAAUCGGCACAUAAAACAACAACCAAUUAUAUUGACUGAGAAUAAAUGAAGAUCAGUGUGCCUGACUGGCUGCUGUUUGCUUUUAUUCAUUUUUAUCAUCUUGAUGAUCUUCUACUUGGAGCUUUCUGCAUUUAUAACUCCAUUUCUGCUGCUGUGGAUGGACACACAUGGAUAGCUUAAAGAUUUGCACUUCCCAACAACAAUUUAUGCCAAGUCUCACUGUUGCUUCAAUAGAUAAUCUCAUAUGAAUACUGUAGACUUGCACUUAAGAACUACUGCUGUAUUCAUGAAGACUGAGCUCAUCCCGGGAUUCUUAUUCACAGUAUGCACAUACUGAAUCCUUUUUUAAUAUAUUUAGAACUAUUGAACAAUGUAUAGUGUUGUAUAUUGAUUUACUGGUGUUCAGCCGAAGGGUCAUGACAAAGUUCUAAAAUACAUAAAUAGGCAAAGUUUAUUCUAAUAGAAAAACUGCUGCAUCAAUGGCAAGAACAAAAGAGGAAAGUCUACCUGUGCAAUCCAAAUGGAGAUUAAGAUACCAUUUCAGGAAACAUACAGGAAGAGUGUAGUCUCGCAUGAUCAGAUGUAAACAAAAAAGAAACUCAAAAUGAUUGUUCACAACACUUCUGAGCAAAGACUUUUCUUUAAAUGGCAAUAACAAUGGCAAAUAAUUAGAAGCAGCUGAUAUGAUGUACAAUUUUUAGUUUUUAAAGUUUUUAGAAUUUUGUAUUGAAACUUUUAAAAUGUAUUAUUAUAAAAAUUUGUUUUUUGUGUUUGUUUCAAGUAUUUUUAAAGUUUAAAAUAUAAUUAAAAUAUUUAUUUUUGUACACGUGGGUAAAAAAAAAAAGUUUUUUCUUUUUUUUUUUAAUGCAACUAACGUUUUGCUGGCACUUGCAUAUAUACUGUAAUGAAUAUUGUAGAAAUGUCUUCAAGUAUUGUGAUAUAUUUUUUGUCAUAUAUCGCCCACCAUCUCAGGGAGUUUUUCCUUUGCCACUGCCACCACUGGCUCACUCAUCAGGUAUCUAAAUAUACAUCCACAUUUCUAUAAAUCUGCUUUGUGAAAAUGUCGAUUGUCAAAAUCCCUAAACAAAUAAACUGAAGGACUCCCUGUUGUGGAAACUGUACCCACCAUUUGCAGUGACUGGUGAAAAAAAGAGAAAAAAGAAAACCUCCUUUAAACGUUUUAAUGUAAGUUAAAUUAAAACACGAAUAAAAAGUGUAAAAAUGGUACU